GUGUCCCCUUCAGCAGCACAUAUACCAAAUUGGAAGGAUACACAGACAAUAAGCAUGGCCCUGUGCAAGGAUGAUAUGCAAAUUUGUGACACAUUCCAUAUUUUU
Small nuclear RNA from Mustela erminea (ermine), 105 nucleotides. Lineage: Eukaryota; Metazoa; Chordata; Mammalia; Carnivora; Mustelidae. The record is from RefSeq and is a predicted model, not a curated record.